GGGAUGAGUAGAGUGGCGGACGGGUGAGUAACGCGUAGGAAUCUAUCCUGUAGUGGGGGAUAACGUUUCGAAAGGAACGCUAAUACCGCAUACGCCCCAAGGGGGAAAGCGGGGGAUCUUCGGACCUCGUGCUAUAGGAGGAGCCUGCGUCGGAUUAGCUAGUUGGUGAGGUAAAGGCUCACCAAGGCGACGAUCCGUAGCUGGUCUGAGAGGAUGAUCAGCCACACCGGAACUGAGACACGGUCCGGACUCCUACGGGAGGCAGCAGUGGGGAAUAUUGCGCAAUGGGCGAAAGCCUGACGCAGCCAUACCGCGUGUGUGAAGAAGGCCUUCGGGUUGUAAAGCACUUUCAGUGGGGAGGAAAAGCUGGUGGCUAAUAUCCAUCGGCCGUGACGCUACCCACAGAAGAAGCACCGGCUAAUUCCGUGCCAGCAGCCGCGGUAAUACGGAAGGUGCGAGCGUUAAUCGGAAUUACUGGGCGUAAAGCGCACGUAGGUGGCUUGGUAAGUCGGAUGUGAAAGCCCCGGGCUCAACCUGGGAACUGCAUUCGAUACUGCCGAGCUAGAGUACGAAAGAGGGGGGUGGAAUUCCAGGUGUAGCGGUGAAAUGCGUAGAGAUCUGGAGGAACACCAGUGGCGAAGGCGGCCCCCUGGUUCGAUACUGACGCUGAGGUGCGAAAGCGUGGGGAGCAAACAGGAUUAGAUACCCUGGUAGUCCACGCCGUAAACGAUGUCUGCUAGCCGUUGGGAUCCUUGAGGUUUCGGUGGCGCAGCUAACGCGAUAAGCAGACCGCCUGGGGAGUACGGCCGCAAGGUUAAAACUCAAAUGAAUUGACGGGGGCCCGCACAAGCGGUGGAGCAUGUGGUUUAAUUCGAUGCAACGCG
Molecule: ribosomal RNA, 884 nt
Filed under: uncultured bacterium
Lineage: Bacteria
Description: bacterial SSU rRNA
Rfam family: Bacterial small subunit ribosomal RNA
Source: RNAcentral